UACAGAGGGGGCAAGCGUUGUUCGGAAUUACUGGGCUUAAAGGGCGCGUAGGCGGCCUGUUAAGUCGAACGUGAAAUCCCCGGGCUCAACCCGGGAACUGCGUCCGAUACUGGCAGGCUUGAAUUCGGGAGAGGGAUGCGGAAUUCCAGGUGUAGCGGUGAAAUGCGUAGAUAUCUGGAGGAACACCGGUGGCGAAGGCGGCAUCCUGGACCGAGAUUGACGCUGAUGCGCGAAAGCCAGGGGAGCAAACGGG
Molecule: ribosomal RNA, 253 nt
Filed under: uncultured bacterium
Lineage: Bacteria
Description: partial 16S ribosomal RNA
Rfam family: Bacterial small subunit ribosomal RNA
Source: RNAcentral